AGGUUAUGGGGCUAGGUAAGGUUUAAGGUUUUUGGCGUGAGGGUUAAAAUCACUGUCCAAAACCUUUGUAGGAACUCUUUUCCAACCUUUUGGAGUUAGUUAGACCAAAAAAAAAAUGAAAAAUGAAAAAACAAUAUUUGGGGUGUUCAAGCUUCCUGAAGGUAAUACCCGGGUAUUAGGUUAUGGGGCUAGGGAAAGGUUUAAGGUUUUUGGCGUAAGGGUUAAAAUCACUGUCCAAAACCUUUGUGGGAACUCUUUUCCAACCUUUUGGAGUUAGUUAGACCACAAAAAAUGAAAAUAAAAAAAAAAAUAUUUGGGGUGUUCAGGCUUCCUGAAGGUAAUACCCGGGUAUUAGGUUUUGGGGCUAGGGUAAGGUUUAAGGUUUUUGGCGAUAGGGUUAAAAUCACUGUCCAAAACCUUUGUAGGAACUCUUUUCCAACCUUUUGGAGUUAGUUAGACAAAAAAAAAAAAAGAUAAAUUAAAAAAAAAUAUUUGGGGUGUUCGGGCUUCCUGAAGGUAAUACCCGGGUAUUAGGUUAUGGGGCUAGGGUAAGGUUUAAGGUUUUUGGCGUAAGGGUUAAAAUCACUGUCCAAAACCUUUUUUAAGGAACAUGUUUCCAGACCUUUGGGAGUUAGUUAGACAAAAAAAAAAGAAAAAGAAAAAAAAAUAUUUGGGGUGUUCGGGUUUCCUGAAGGUAAUACCCGGGUAUUAGGUUAGGGGCUAAGGUAAGGUUUAAGGUUUUUGGCGUGAGGGUUAAAAUCACUGUCCAAAACCUUUGUAGGAACUCUUUUCCUACCUUUUGGAGUUAGUUAGACAAAAAAAAUAAAUAAAUGAAAAAAAAAUAUUUGGGGUGUUCGGGCUUCCUGAAGGUAAUACCCGGGUAUUAGGUUAUGGGGCUAGGUUAAGGUUUAAGGUUUUUGGCGUGAGGGUUAAAAUCACUUUCCAAAACCUUUGUAGGAAGUCUUUUCCAACCUUUUGGAGUUAGUUAGACAAAAAAAAAAAAGAUAAAUGAAAAAAAAAUAUUUGGGGUGUUCGGGCUUCCUGAAGGUAAUACCCGGGUAUUACGUUUUGGGGCUAGGGUAACUUUUAAGGUUUUUGGCGAUAGGGUUAAAAUCACUGUCCAAAACCUUUGUAGGAACUCUUUUCCAACCUUUUGGAGUUAGUUAGACAAAAAAAAAAAGAUAAAUUAAAAAAAAAUAUUUGGGGUGUUCGGGCUUCCUGAAGGUAAUACCCGGGUAUUAGGUUAUGGGGCUAGGGUAAGGUUUAAGGUUUUUGGCGUAAGGGUUAAAAUCACUGUCCAAAACCUUUUUAGGAACAUGUUUCAGACCUUUUGGAGAUGGUUACACCAAAAAAAAUGUAAAAUGAAAAAAAAAAAUAUUUGGGGUGUUCGGGCUUCCUGAAGGUAAUACCCGGGUAUUAGGUUAUGGGGCUAGGGUAAGGUUUAAGGUUUUUGGCGAUAGGGUUAAAAUCACUGUCCAAAACCUUUGUAGGAACUCUUUUCCAACCUUUUGGAAUUAGUUAGACAAAAAAAAAGAUAAAUGAAAAAAAAAUAUUUGGGGUGUUCGGGCUUCCUGAAGGUAAUACCCGGGUAUUAGGUUAUGGGGCUAGGGUUAGGUUUAAGGUUUUUGGCGUUAGGGUUAAAGUAACUGUCCAAUAUUUUUUAAGGAACAUGUUUCAGACCUUUGGGAGUUAGUUAGACAAAAAAAAAAGAAAAAGAAAAAAAAAUUAUUUGGGGUGUUCGGGUUUCCUGAAGGUAAUACCCGGGUAUUAGGUUUUGGGGCUAGGGUAACUUUUAAGGUUUUUGGCGAUAGGGUUAAAAUCACUGUCCAAAACCUUUGUAGGAACUCUUUUCCAACCUUUUGGAGUGAGUUAGACCACAAAAAAUGAAAAAUAAAAAAAAAAUAUUUGGGGUGUUCAGGCUUCCUGAAGGUAAUACCCGGGUAUUAGGUUUUGGGGCUAGGGUAACUUUUAAGGUUUUUGGCGAUAUGGUUAAAAUCACUGUCCAAAACCUUUGUAGGAACUCUUUUCCAACCUUUUGGAGUUAGUUAGACCACAAAAAAUGAAAAAAAAAAAUAUAUAUUUGGGGUGUUCAGGCUUCCUGAAGGUAAUACCCAGGUAUUAGGUUUUGGGGCUAGGGUAACUUUUAAGGUUUUUGGCGAUAGGGUUAAAAUCACUGUCCAAAACCUUUGUAGGAACUCUUUUCCAACCUUUUGGAGUUAGUUAGACAAAAAAAAAAAAGAUAAAUUAAAAAAAAAUAUUUGGGGUGUUCGGGCUUCCUGAAGGUAAUACCCGGGUAUUAGGUUAUGGGGCUAGGGUAAGGUUUAAGGUUUUUGGCGUAAGGGUUAAAAUCACUGUCCAAAACCUUUUUAGGAACAUGUUUCAGACCUUUUGGAGAUGGUUACACCAAAAAAAAAUGUAAAAUGAAAAAAAAAAUAUUUGGGGUGUUCGGGCUUCCUGAAGGUAAUACCCGGGUAUUAGGUUAUGGGGCUAGGGUAAGGUUUAAGGUUUUUGGUGAUAGGGUUAAAAUCACUGUCCAAA
Molecule: long non-coding RNA, 2538 nt
Filed under: Xyrichtys novacula (pearly razorfish)
Lineage: Eukaryota; Metazoa; Chordata; Actinopteri; Labriformes; Labridae
Source: RNAcentral